UUAACGUAGGUUGAAACUGCGCAUGGAUCAUUAUAGCGUUUAGACCGGGUUGUAGCUGGCCUUCCGAGGCAUGUGCACGCCCUGCUCAUCCACUCUACACCUGUGCACUUACUGUGGGCUUCAGAUUGCGAGGCACGCUCUUUACCGGGCUUGCGGAGCAUAUCUGUGCCUGCGUUUAUCACAAACUCUAUAAAGUAACAGAAUGUGUAUUGCGAUGUAACACAUCUAUAUACAACUUUCAGCAACGGAUCUCUUGGCUCUCGCAUCGAUGAAGAACGCAGCGAAAUGCGAUAAGUAAUGUGAAUUGCAGAAUUCAGUGAAUCAUCGAAUCUUUGAACGCACCUUGCGCUCCUUGGUAUUCCGAGGAGCAUGCCUGUUUGAGUGUCAUGAAAUCUUCAACCUACAAGCUUUUGUGGUUUGUUGGCUUGGACUUGGAGGCUUGUCGGCCAUUAUCGGUCGGCUCCUCUUAAAUACAUUAGCUUGGUUCCUUGCGGAUCGGCUCUCGGUGUGAUAAUGUCUACGCCGUGACCGUGAAGCGUUUGGCGAGCUUCUAACCGUCUUAUAAGACAGCUUUAUGACCUCUGACCUCAAAUCAGGUAGGACUACCCGCUGAACUUAAGCAUAUCAUUAAGCCGGAGGAAAUCUCUA
Molecule: ribosomal RNA, 648 nt
Filed under: Ganoderma lucidum
Lineage: Eukaryota; Fungi; Basidiomycota; Agaricomycetes; Polyporales; Polyporaceae
Description: eukaryotic LSU rRNA
Rfam family: 5.8S ribosomal RNA (bases 234-387)
Source: RNAcentral